UUAAAGGUUCUUUUAAGGACCACCAAAUCUUUCAAAAAGAGUCUA
This 45-nucleotide non-coding RNA is filed under the name Mytilus galloprovincialis (Mediterranean mussel). It matches the Rfam family "Histone 3' UTR stem-loop". Rfam says of the family: The mRNAs of metazoan histone genes lack a poly-A tail. 3' end processing occurs at a site between a highly conserved stem-loop (modelled by this family) and a purine rich region around 20 nts downstream (the histone downstream element, or HDE). Lineage: Eukaryota; Metazoa; Mollusca; Bivalvia; Mytilida; Mytilidae. The record is from RNAcentral.